GACGAACGCUGGCGGCGUGCUUAACACAUGCAAGUCGAACGGAAAGGCCUGCAGCUUGCUGCGGGUACUCGAGCGGCGAACGGGUGAGUAACACGUGGGUGAUCUGCCUUGCACUUCGGGAUAAGCUUGGGAAACUGGGUCUAAUACCGGAUAGGACAGCUGUUUAGUGUCAGUUGUGGAAAGUUUUUUCGGUGCAAGAUGAGCUCGCGGCCUAUCAGCUUGUUGGUGGGGUAAUGGCCUACCAAGGCGUCGACGGGUAGCCGGCCUGAGAGGGUGUACGGCCACAUUGGGACUGAGAUACGGCCCAGACUCCUACGGGAGGCAGCAGUGGGGAAUAUUGCACAAUGGGCGGAAGCCUGAUGCAGCGACGCCGCGUGGGGGAUGAAGGCCUUCGGGUUGUAAACUCCUUUCGACAGGGACGAAGCUUUUGUGACGGUACCUGUAUAAGAAGCACCGGCUAACUACGUG
Molecule: ribosomal RNA, 468 nt
Filed under: uncultured bacterium
Lineage: Bacteria
Description: partial 16S ribosomal RNA
Rfam family: Bacterial small subunit ribosomal RNA
Source: RNAcentral